UAGGGAAUCUUCCACAAUGGGUGAAAGCCUGAUGGAGCAACGCCGCGUGUGUGAUGAAGGGUUUCGGCUCGUAAAACACUGUUGUAAGAGAAGAAUGACAUUGAGAGUAACUGUUCAAUGUGUGACGGUAUCUUACCAGAAAGGAACGGCUAAAUACGUGCCAG
Molecule: ribosomal RNA, 164 nt
Filed under: uncultured bacterium
Lineage: Bacteria
Description: partial 16S rRNA
Rfam family: Bacterial small subunit ribosomal RNA
Source: RNAcentral